UCUCUCCCAGCGUCCUUGCUGCUAGGGACACAGUUCCAGGAUGGAGCCUCCAGCAAAGAGACCAGAGACUGAUUCAGAAAGACCACAGUCAGUGGUGGAGCCCUUCUUAGAAUAUGGCAGCUACUUGAGCUGGUGAGUUUAAUCAAGAAUUGGUGAGAAUCAACAAGACCAAAACACAAAUUUCAAUUCAUGUUACAUCACUUAGUUAAUGCAUGUUUUACCAAGUUAUUUAUUAUGUCUGAAGGCAAGGGGUAGUUGUUAGGAAAACAAAGCAAAAGUAUUUGGCGGGGGUGCCUAGUCUAAUCAAGAUUGCCCAAUGACCCCGUUUUUCUGGCUUCUCUGCAAUGUUUGGCAGUUAGGAGAAUCCAAAAUUGGUAAUGAGUUUGAGUUCAGAGGCAAAUAUCCACCUAGUCUAUUAAUUCAGCUAAGCUCUGCUUUUCCAGUACUAGAAUAAAGUAGAUACUUUGAUUCACACAGAGUUGAAGCUUAUCAGAAAGGCAAAACAGAGCUCAGAACAAAAAGAUUCUCACUUGGGGAAAAAGACUAGUUACCAAGGAAAUAAAGACAGCAGCUGGAAUAUUGAGACAAAGUAAAGGGGUCAACAGACUAAGUCCACGUGAAGACACAGAACAAUCUUAAUAGAACCGAGGUGGGAGGAGUUGAACUAGCAAGCUGGAGAGGAAGACGAGUCAGCGAGUGAGAACUGAGUUCGGUAUUUGGGAGAACAAAGGGCAAGGCGUUAACCACCCACUCAUAUGGAAGUAGAAGCAACUAACAGUAAGGUGAGUCAGGGGGGAGGGGGGCACUUCCACAACCAUCCCCUCACCUGUCCAUGCUAUAGAACUAGUAUCUGGCUUUUGAACCAGAUCUUGGGUUCAAAUCCCAGGACCUCUCAGAAGGGAGACUGCGCCAUUGACCUCUGAGUGUUACCUGUAAAAGCUGAUAACUACCUGGGACUGAGUAGUUGACAUUCGUCUGGCAGUAGGCCACUACUUAAAUGCUUUCUCAGGUAAGUCAGUGCAAGUAGAAACUGACGGUUUAACACCUCAGAGUAAGAUUUCUACAUCAGUUCUAGUUUGCCAGGUGACAG
This 1090-nucleotide long non-coding RNA is filed under the name Equus asinus (donkey). RNAcentral describes it as "lncRNA (ENSEASG00005024390.1)". Lineage: Eukaryota; Metazoa; Chordata; Mammalia; Perissodactyla; Equidae. The record is from RNAcentral.